Molecule: ribosomal RNA, 907 nt
Filed under: Fragilidium sp.
Lineage: Eukaryota; Dinophyceae; Gonyaulacales; Pyrophacaceae
Description: partial large subunit ribosomal RNA
Rfam family: Eukaryotic large subunit ribosomal RNA
Source: RNAcentral
GCGAAUGAAUUAAAACAUGUUUAAUCUGAUAAUUAAGGCUAUUAGCCUUGACAUGUAGUCUCAAACAGUAUUACCAAUAAGGGGGUGAAUGUAUGUUUCUUGGAACAGAGCAGCAAUAAAGGUGAUACUCCUGUUUGACAUUUAUUACUUCUUAUGCACCGUGUGCAUGUGUGGAAUCACAUUUUUUGGGAAUAAAAUGCAAAGUGGGUGGUAAGUUUCAUUAAAAAGUUUAAUAUAAACUUGAGACUGAUAGCGCACAAGUACCUUGAGGGAAAAAUGAAAAGGGCUUUGAAAAGAAAGUUAAAUGAGCUUCAAACUUGCUGAAUGGAAAGCAACCAGAAAUCAUGCAUGAAUCAAAGAUUGUUGUUGUGAUGUGUACUGCUGACCUCAGGUGUAGUGAUACAUGUGCAGCAGUGCAUCUUUUUGUAUUGUUAACCCUGGCUCAUGAAUGUUCAUUGGCUGAUAUUGGGUUUGCCGUUUGGAUUAACACCGCUGCCUGCGUCAACUCAUGAGCAAGAUUGUUUGGUUGGUCAUUGAUUAGUUGUGAUGAUUGUUCACAUCUGUGAAAAGUUUCUGGCACACACAAAUGAUGUUGACAAAAUGAUUUUGAUUGACCCGUCUUGAAACACGGACCAAGGAGCCUAACAGGUGUGCGAGUGAUUUGGGAAACAAUUUUGCAUAAUAACUGUAUAAGUUUGCAUACUUGCGCAAGCAGUCAACCAACUUACUGUAACAGGUUUGAGCUUGAGCGUUGCUGUUAAGACCCGAAAGAUGGUGAACUAUAUUUGAAAAGGGCAAGGUCAGGGGAAACUCUGAUGGAGGCGCACAGCGAUACUGACGUGCAAAUCGUUCGUUGUACUUGGGUAUAGGGGCGAAAGACUCAUCGAACCAUCUAGUAGCUGGUUCC